RNAcentral lists this ribosomal RNA (245 nucleotides) under uncultured bacterium. Its description in RNAcentral is "partial small subunit ribosomal RNA". It matches the Rfam family "Bacterial small subunit ribosomal RNA", at positions 26 to 285 of the family's 1533-position model. The record is from RNAcentral.
AGAAUCAACGCUGGCGGCGUGCCUAACACAUGCAAGUCGAACGAGAAAGUGGAGCAAUCCACGAGUAAAGUGGCGCACGGGUGAGUAACACGUGACUAACCUACCCUUGAGUGGGGAAUAACUGAGGGAAACCUUAGCUAAUACCGCAUAAUACCUACUGGUCAAAGGAGCAAUUCGCUUAAGGAGGGGGUCGCGGCAGAUUAGUUAGUUGGCGGGGUAAUGGCCCACCAAGACAGUGAUCUGUA